AUACGGAGGAUCCGAGCGUUAUCCGGAUUUAUUGGGUUUAAAGGGUGCGCAGGCGGCCAUUUAAGUCAGCGGUUAAAUCGUGGGGCUCAACCCCAUUCUGCCGUUGAUACUGGGUGGCUUGAUUGCGGUCGAGGUUGGCGGAAUUCGUUGUGUAGCGGUGAAAUGCAUAGAUAUGACGAAGAACACCGAUUGCGUAGGCAGCUGACCAGACCGCAAAUGACGCUCAUGCACGAAAGUGCGGGGAUCGAACAGGAUUAGAUACCCUGGUAGUCCGCACAGUAAACGAUGAAUACUUGUUUUCGGCGAUAUAAUGUCGGAGGCAAAGCGAAAGCGAUAAGUAUUCCACCUGGGGAGUACGCCGGCAACAGUGAAACUCAAAUGAAUUGGCGGGG
RNAcentral lists this ribosomal RNA (392 nucleotides) under uncultured bacterium. Its description in RNAcentral is "partial 16S ribosomal RNA". It matches the Rfam family "Bacterial small subunit ribosomal RNA", at positions 523 to 918 of the family's 1533-position model. The record is from RNAcentral.